CCUACGGGGGGCAGCAGUGGGGGAUAUUGCACAAUGGGGGAAACCCUGAUGCAGCGACGCCGCGUGGGCGAAGAAGUAUUUCGGUAUGUAAAGCCCUAUCAGCAGGGAAGAAGAAAUGACGGUACCUUAGUAAGAAGCACAGGCUAAAUACGUGCCAGCAGCCGCGGAAAUACGUAGGUGCAAGGGUUAUCCGGAUUUACUGGGUGGAAAGGGUGCGGAGGCGGCACCGCAAGCCUGAUGUGAAAGCCCGCGGCCCAACCUCGGGACUGCAUUGGGAACUACCGGGCUGGAGUGCAGGAGAGGUAGGCGGAAUGCCUAGUGUAGCGGUGAAAUGCGUAGAUAUUAGGAGGAACACCAGUGGCGAAGGCGGCCUACUGGACGGUGACUGACGCUGAGGCUCGAAAGCGUGGGGAGCAAACAGGAUUAGAUACCCCAGUAGUC
Molecule: ribosomal RNA, 441 nt
Filed under: uncultured bacterium
Lineage: Bacteria
Description: partial 16S ribosomal RNA
Rfam family: Bacterial small subunit ribosomal RNA
Source: RNAcentral